UACAGAGGUCCCAAGCGUUGUUCGGAUUCACUGGGCGUAAAGGGUGCGUAGGUGGUGAGGUAAGUCGGAUGUGAAAGCUCGGAGCUCAACUCCGAAAUGGCAUUGGAAACUACCUUGCUCGAGGGUUGGAGGGGGACUGGAAUACUUGGUGUAGCAGUGAAAUGCGUAGAUAUCAAGUGGAACACCAGUGGCGAAGGCGAGUCCCUGGACAACUCCUGACACUGAGGCACGAAAGCUAGGGGAGCAAACAGG
This 252-nucleotide ribosomal RNA is filed under the name uncultured bacterium. RNAcentral describes it as "partial 16S ribosomal RNA". It matches the Rfam family "Bacterial small subunit ribosomal RNA", at positions 524 to 776 of the family's 1533-position model. The record is from RNAcentral.